GGAAGGAGAAGUCGUAACAAGGUUUUUCAAUGAUUCUUCAUGCCUGAAAAUGGUUUAGAUGCACGGAAGCCUUAGUAACAUGAGAGGAUGGGCCUUCUAUGUUGCUAGUAUUUGCAAAUGGAGCAAAUGCGACGUCAUCAAACUGCGGGGAACGUGUAAAAAAAUAGUGCAAGUACCAAGCGUGGUUACAUCGCUUCCUUGCGAGUAAGAACGUGGCCAAAUUUUMAGAUUUUGGGUAUGGUAAUAAUCUUGCAUUAGACGCUACGCAACCCGCAACCAAGGCUCUUGUAUAAGAGUGCUGUUCACAGACUAGAUGAUGACGGGCCUACGGAAAGCUGGCUCAAGGUAUAGUCGAACAUGUUUGGAAACAUGUGAAACAAAUUCCGCAUGAGGAUUCACCGUUCCGUAGGUGAACC
This 416-nucleotide ribosomal RNA is filed under the name Euastrum oblongum. RNAcentral's name for it is "partial 18S ribosomal RNA". The stretch from base 67 to 375 matches the Rfam family "Group I catalytic intron". Rfam says of the family: Group I catalytic introns are large self-splicing ribozymes. They catalyse their own excision from mRNA, tRNA and rRNA precursors in a wide range of organisms. The core secondary structure consists of 9 paired regions (P1-P9). Lineage: Eukaryota; Viridiplantae; Streptophyta; Zygnematophyceae; Desmidiales; Desmidiaceae. The record is from RNAcentral.